GACGAGGUGACCGAGCGGUUAAGGUGAUGGACCAUUGUGCAUUGCACGCGUGGGUUCGAAUCCCAUCCUCGUCG
This 74-nucleotide transfer RNA is filed under the name Daphnia galeata. It matches the Rfam family "tRNA". From Rfam's summary of the family: Transfer RNA (tRNA) molecules are approximately 80 nucleotides in length. Their secondary structure includes four short double-helical elements and three loops (D, anti-codon, and T loops). Further hydrogen bonds mediate the characteristic L-shaped molecular structure. tRNAs have two regions of fundamental functional importance: the anti-codon, which is responsible for specific mRNA codon recognition, and the 3' end, to which the tRNAs corresponding amino acid is attached (by aminoacyl-tRNA synthetases). tRNAs cope with the degeneracy of the genetic code in two manners: having more than one tRNA (with a specific anti-codon) for a particular amino acid; and 'wobble' base-pairing, i.e. permitting non-standard base-pairing at the 3rd anti-codon position. Lineage: Eukaryota; Metazoa; Arthropoda; Branchiopoda; Diplostraca; Daphniidae. The record is from Rfam by way of RNAcentral.